AUUUCUUCAAAAAGUUUGCAUUCAUUGUUUUAUAGAUUAUUUCAUCCUUUAAAAACAGAAAAAAUGGCUAUUGGUUUUUCUCUGAUUAUGAAAGUGAGACACGGAAAUAACGCAUAGAAAAACAAGGAAGGGCGUGAAGAAGAAAAUGUCAUCCACACUAUUUUCCAGAGAUGUGCAUAAUUAAAGUAUUGGUGUGCAACACCAUUUUUUUUCAUGCACAGACUUUUUAUUGGGAGGUGGAUCUUAGGAGAGACCGUUUCCACAGAUUUCUUUCCCCCUUAAUGUUACACAUAACGAGUAAAUGAGGAAAGAGUUUUCUUUUCAACAAAAACAAAUUUUGUUUUAUUUUUAAAAAUCAUUUUUGUCUCAGUUUGUGGAAAUUAAUAAAACCAACCGUAACUAAACUGGAGUUUGGAAGGCCUGCAGGGGGAGCGCUCACCCCCAUCACACGUCAUUAACUACACCAGACGGGAAAAGGGAGGAUAGGACGGAGAACCACUUCACUAUUGAAGGAAGACUUCCCUCCCCACCCGGCAACAGCCCAGCCAAUGAGAAACCCCACAGCUCAGCCAAUGAGAAACCCCACAGCUCAGCCAAUGAGAAAAACCACAGCUCAGCCAAUGAGAAAAACCACAGCUCAGCCAAUGAGAAAAACCACAGCUCAGCCAAUGAGAAACACUGCAGCUCAGUCAGUGAGAAACACCACAGCUCAGCCAAUGAGAAGUGCUGCAACUCAGCCAAUGAGAAACACCACAGCUCAGCCAAUGAGAAACACCACAGCUCAGCCAAUGAGAAACACCACAGCUCAGCCAAUGAGAAACACCACAGCUCAGCCAAUGAGAAACACCACAGCUCAGCCAAUCAGAAACACCACAGCUCAGCCAAUCAGAAACACUGCAGCCCAGCCAAUGAGAAAUACCGCAGCUCAGCCAAUGAGGAGCCAUUGCUGCCCUGAACUGUAACUCUCCCCCAAUGGACUUUCCUUUAGAACAGCCCUGCCCUCUCCCCCCUUUUCUCUAUAAAAGCAGCUCCCCUCCUUUGUCUGCUGGAUUAGCCUGUGGUUUGCCAUAGCAGGAACAUCCUGAAUUGUAAUUCUUUUGGCUAUACCCAAAUAAACUCAUUUUGGGAUAAAAUAAUGCAAAUUUGCUUUUUAAGUUGGCACCUUCAAGAAACAAUGUCUUUCUCCUCAGUGUACUGACAGAAUUGUCCUUGUUUUUUCAUCUUUAGGAUAAAGGUUGUGAGGAGAUCCUUUGGCAUUUAUUUAUUUUAAAAUUAUUAGUAAUU
RNAcentral lists this long non-coding RNA (1284 nucleotides) under Equus caballus (horse). RNAcentral describes it as "lncRNA (ENSECAG00000050857.1)". Lineage: Eukaryota; Metazoa; Chordata; Mammalia; Perissodactyla; Equidae. The record is from RNAcentral.